CCUCCCGGGAAGUCCUCGUGUUG
Molecule: small nuclear RNA, 23 nt
Filed under: Arabidopsis thaliana (thale cress)
Lineage: Eukaryota; Viridiplantae; Streptophyta; Magnoliopsida; Brassicales; Brassicaceae
Description: snRNA_09208
Source: RNAcentral